This 216-nucleotide non-coding RNA is filed under the name Dracunculus medinensis (Guinea worm). Its description in RNAcentral is "Eukaryotic large subunit ribosomal RNA". It matches the Rfam family "Eukaryotic large subunit ribosomal RNA", at positions 967 to 1170 of the family's 3401-position model. Lineage: Eukaryota; Metazoa; Nematoda; Chromadorea; Rhabditida; Dracunculidae. The record is from Rfam by way of RNAcentral.
UUUCCCCCAGGAUAGCUGGAACUUAUUUUGAGCAGUUAUAUACGGUAAAGCGAAUGAUUAGAGGAAUUGGGGACGAAACGACCUCAACCUAUUCUCAAACUUUCAAUGUGUAUGACGUCUCGCUUGCUUGAAAGAAUUGUGAAGCGUUUAGACAUUGAAUGUGAGUUCCAAGUGGGCCAUUUUUGGUAAGCAGAACUGGCGCUGUGGGAUGAACCA